AGUGAACGCUGGCGGUAGGCCUAACACAUGCAAGUCGAACGGCAGCACAGUAAGAGCUUGCUCUUACGGGUGGCGAGUGGCGGACGGGUGAGGAAUACAUCGGAAUCUACUUUUUCGUGGGGGAUAACGUAGGGAAACUUACGCUAAUACCGCAUACGACCUACGGGUGAAAGCAGGGGAUCUUCGGACCUUGCGCGAUUGAAUGAGCCGAUGUCGGAUUAGCUAGUUGGCGGGGUAAAGGCCCACCAAGGCGACGAUCCGUAGCUGGUCUGAGAGGAUGAUCAGCCACACUGGAACUGAGACACGGUCCAGACUCCUACGGGAGGCAGCAGUGGGGAAUAUUGGACAAUGGGCGCAAGCCUGAUCCAGCCAUACCGCGUGGGUGAAGAAGGCCUUCGGGUUGUAAAGCCCUUUUGUUGGGAAAGAAAAUCAGCAAGUUAAUACCCCGCUGUUCUGACGGUACCCAAAGAAUAAGCACCGGCUAACUUCGUG
Molecule: ribosomal RNA, 492 nt
Filed under: uncultured bacterium
Lineage: Bacteria
Description: partial 16S ribosomal RNA
Rfam family: Bacterial small subunit ribosomal RNA
Source: RNAcentral